UGCGUAAUAGCUCACUGGUCGAGCGCCCCUGCGCCGAAAAUGUAUGGGACUAAGUAUCGCGCCGAAGACACGGGUUCGCAAGAGCAGUAGGGGAGCGUUGUGUUCAGCGUUGAAGGUGUACCGGAAGGAGCACUGGAGCGUUCACAAGUGAGAAUGCCGGCAUGAGUAGCGAUAAAGGGGGUGAGAUUCCCCCUCGCCGAUAGCCCAAGGUUUCCCCGGCAAGGCCAAUCCGCCGGGGGUUAGUCGGCCCCUAAGGUGAAGCCGAAAGGCGUAACCGAUGGGAAGCGGGUUCAUAUUCCCGCACCGCCAUGGUUUGAGCGAUGGAGUGACGUAGAAGGAUAGGUGAUCAGGGAGAUGGUUCCUUCGGGUGCCCUGUCUCCGGCUUUAGGUGUUGAGGUGGCGAGGAAAAUCCCGUCACUGAGCUGAGGGUUGGAGCGAGUGAUCCUACGGGUGAACGUAGUCAUCGAUUCCACACUACCGAGAAAA
RNAcentral lists this ribosomal RNA (486 nucleotides) under Cyclophora tenuis. RNAcentral's name for it is "partial Bacterial large subunit ribosomal RNA". It matches the Rfam family "Bacterial large subunit ribosomal RNA", at positions 1131 to 1616 of the family's 2925-position model. Lineage: Eukaryota; Bacillariophyta; Fragilariophyceae; Cyclophorales; Cyclophoraceae. The record is from RNAcentral.